AAGUAUGCUUCAGAUCUUUACUUGAAAAAUUAGAGUGUCAAAGCAGGCAUUAAUGCUGUGAAUACAUUAGCAUGGAAUAAUAAGAUAGGGCUUUGGUUCUAUUUUGUUGGUUUCUAGGACUGAAGUAAUGAUUGAUAGGGACAUUGGGGGUGCUAGUAUUCAACGGCCAGAGGUGAAAUUCUCGGAUUCGUUGAAGACUAACUAAUGCGAAAGCAUUCACCAAGGAUGUCUUCUUUAAUCAAGAACGAAAGUUGGGGGAUCGAAGACGAUCAGAUACCGUCGUAGUCUCAACCAUAAACUAUGCCGACUCGGGAUUGGUGAUUGUUGAAUUUGACAUCAUCAGCACCGUAUGAGAAAUCAAAGUCUUUGGGUUCCGGGGGAGUAUGGUCGCAAGGCUGAAACUUAAAGGAAUUGACGGUAAGGGCACA
This 428-nucleotide ribosomal RNA is filed under the name uncultured eukaryote. Its description in RNAcentral is "bacterial SSU rRNA". It matches the Rfam family "Eukaryotic small subunit ribosomal RNA", at positions 736 to 1169 of the family's 1831-position model. The record is from RNAcentral.